UACGAAGGGGGGCUAGCGUUGCUCGGAAUCACUGGGCGUAAAGGGCGCGUAGGCGGCUCAUGAAGGCUGUGGUGAAAGUCCGGGGCUCAACCUCGGAUCGGCCGUGGCGACUCGUGGGCUGGAGCACUGUAGAGGCGGGUGGAAUUCCGGGUGUAGCGGUGGAAUGCGUAGAGAUCCGGAAGAACACCAGUGGCGAAGGCGGCCCGCUGGGCAGCUGGCUGACGCUGAGGCGCGACAGCGUGGGGAGCAAACAGG
This 255-nucleotide ribosomal RNA is filed under the name uncultured bacterium. Its description in RNAcentral is "partial 16S ribosomal RNA". It matches the Rfam family "Bacterial small subunit ribosomal RNA", at positions 524 to 776 of the family's 1533-position model. The record is from RNAcentral.